Bemisia tabaci is the source of this 1385-nucleotide non-coding RNA. The record is from RefSeq and is a predicted model, not a curated record. Lineage: Eukaryota; Metazoa; Arthropoda; Insecta; Hemiptera; Aleyrodidae.
UAAGCGUUUAAGAAAAGGCGUGACGUUCAUAGUUAUGAGAUGCACCCACUGCAGCAUUAAUAAUAUGCGCUGAAGAUUAAAUUACAGGUUAUCGCGUGAUGAUUAGAUACAAGCGAGCGAUUAGAUACAAUGUAGUAGCUAAUUGAUGGAUGGGAGAUACAAACCACAUCCUGGUUAUGAGCAAUGGUUAUUGAUGCGAUAAUCGUUACCACACUAAGCUUACACUGUAAGCUGAAAAUGAAAAAUGACGUCGGUAGCUUUGUUUUUCUAGGAUGCGUUUCCUUAUUAUGCCGAGCAUAUAAAAAGAUUUUCCGAGGACUAGGUGUUACUGCAAUUCGCUCAUUUGUGUGAUCUUGUGUUGCCCUUAGCGCUUUAGUGACUUGUGCUCUCCAUUGGGAAAAAAUAGAAUGAACACAGUUCAACGUUGUGACCGUGAACUCGAUGUCUUUUGCAUCCAGAUCAGCUGAGCAGCGUCCAAAUGGAAUGAAAAUUUAUAAGAAAAAGAAUCAAUACGCGAGGCGUGCACCUACCAUUGGCUGCUGGUUGAGCUGCAAUUUUUCGAGAUCGCCCUGGUCGAAGAACUCAUCUGCAACCAACUUUGCCAUCUUGUGCUGAACUUCCCACGGUUUUGCAAUCGCCCCGACGUCGCAGGCAGUCAUGAGAAUCCCGCACAAAACUGAUAAAAAAACGUAACGAACAACAUUUUAAUCUACUAUAGAGAACUAUAGCCGUGACACAUGUUAUGUAGUGGUAAUGAAUGGCUCCUCACUUGGUAUAUUACCUUAACACAUGUGUAUGUGUGUACGCACACCUGCGCAAGAGAAUGCUGUCGUCCUAAGGAAAAACACCCUAUGAACCUUCGAGAGUUGCCAAAUUUCCUCCCAUGAAAUGUUCAUGCCUAAGGAAAGAUCUUAGAAAAGUUCAUUUCUAAGGAAGGAUACUUCAUAUUUUCAGGAAGUUUAGGAGAAUUUGCGAACAAAAUUAUUUGAAAAAAUUGAAUAGAUAUAUUCGUGAAUUUAUCAGGAGAAUCGUGUGUUAUCAAAGAAAAUUUGGCAACGCCUGAAGGUUCAUACGGCGUUUUUCCUUAGCACGGCAGAAUGAGAGACCAUUAUUUCACGGAAUUAACAGCGAAUGAUUUAUUAAGGUCCUAGUUUGAGCAAAUCUGUCCUGCUCUUAUCUACACUCAGUUUUGAAUGAGUACUUUUUUAAAUGUUAUGUAUGGAAAGGCGAAACAUCUUUUCCCUCCCUUUCCUUGCACAGUAUUGAUUAAAGUAAUUCAACGUGAUGAAAUUUUUAUACUCUUAUUUUACUCUGUAUACAUCAAAAUUUGUGUCAUAAUUCUUCCUUAAAAUUGCUGAUCAUUUAUUAUAAUGUUGAAAAACUUA